Molecule: ribosomal RNA, 854 nt
Filed under: uncultured Flavobacteriaceae bacterium
Lineage: Bacteria; Pseudomonadati; Bacteroidota; Flavobacteriia; Flavobacteriales; Flavobacteriaceae
Description: bacterial SSU rRNA
Rfam family: Bacterial small subunit ribosomal RNA
Source: RNAcentral
GCUAGCGGCAGGCCUAACACAUGCAAGUCGAGGGGUAACAUAAAGUGCUUGCACUUUGAUGACGACCGGCGCACGGGUGAGUAACGCGUAUACAAUCUGCCUCAUACUAGGGGAUAGCCCAGAGAAAUUUGGAUUAAUACCCUAUAGUAUCAUUUAGAGUCAUCUCUUUAUGAUUAAAGGUUACGGUAUGAGAUGAGUAUGCGUUCUAUUAGUUAGUAGGUGAGGUAACGGCUCACCUAGACCACGAUAGAUAGGGGCCCUGAGAGGGGGAUCCCCCACACUGGUACUGAGACACGGACCAGACUCCUACGGGAGGCAGCAGUGAGGAAUAUUAGACAAUGGGCGAAAGCCUGAUCUAGCCAUGCCGCGUGCAGGAUGACGGCCCUAUGGGUUGUAAACUGCUUUUAUACAGGAAGAAAAAACUCUACGUGUAGAGUCUUGACGGUACUGUAAGAAUAAGGAUCGGCUAACUCCGUGCCAGCAGCCGCGGUAAUACGGAGGAUCCAAGCGUUAUCCGGAAUUAUUGGGUUUAAAGGGUCCGUAGGUGGACAAUUAAGUCAGAGGUGAAAUCCUGCAGCUCAACUGUAGAAUUGCCUUUGAAACUGGUUGUCUUGAGUCAUUAUGAAGUGGUUAGAAUGUGUAGUGUAGCGGUGAAAUGCAUAGAUAUUACACAGAAUACCAAUUGCGAAGGCAGAUCACUAAUAAUGUACUGACACUGAUGGACGAAAGCGUGGGUAGCGAACAGGAUUAGAUACCCUGGUAGUCCACGCCGUAAACGAUGGUCACUAGCUGUUCGGACUUCGGUCUGAGUGGCUAAGCGAAAGUGAUAAGUGACCCACCUGGGGAGUACGUCG